Transfer RNA from Camelus ferus (Wild Bactrian camel), 72 nucleotides. It matches the Rfam family "tRNA". Rfam says of the family: Transfer RNA (tRNA) molecules are approximately 80 nucleotides in length. Their secondary structure includes four short double-helical elements and three loops (D, anti-codon, and T loops). Further hydrogen bonds mediate the characteristic L-shaped molecular structure. tRNAs have two regions of fundamental functional importance: the anti-codon, which is responsible for specific mRNA codon recognition, and the 3' end, to which the tRNAs corresponding amino acid is attached (by aminoacyl-tRNA synthetases). tRNAs cope with the degeneracy of the genetic code in two manners: having more than one tRNA (with a specific anti-codon) for a particular amino acid; and 'wobble' base-pairing, i.e. permitting non-standard base-pairing at the 3rd anti-codon position. The record is from Rfam. Lineage: Eukaryota; Metazoa; Chordata; Mammalia; Artiodactyla; Camelidae.
GAGGGUAUAGCUCAGUGGUAAGGCGCAUGCUUAGCAUGCACGAGGUCCUGGGUUCAAUCCCCAGUACCUCCA